Molecule: non-coding RNA, 147 nt
Filed under: Streptomyces sp.
Lineage: Bacteria; Bacillati; Actinomycetota; Actinomycetes; Kitasatosporales; Streptomycetaceae
Source: RNAcentral
AGCCGUCGGAAACGGCGGGGCAGGCCGGUGGGGAGAAUCUGGGAAGCCGGUGAGAUUCCGGCACAGGCCCGCUGCGGUGAACCAGGCCCGCUCACGUCGAGCAGGGACCCGGCAAGUCCGAAGACCGGCCUCGCGCCGACCACUUGA